This 650-nucleotide ribosomal RNA is filed under the name uncultured marine bacterium. RNAcentral describes it as "bacterial SSU rRNA". It matches the Rfam family "Bacterial small subunit ribosomal RNA", at positions 83 to 729 of the family's 1533-position model. The record is from RNAcentral.
UCCUGCUGACGAGCGGCGGACGGGUGAGUAACGCGUGGGAAUCUGCCCAUUGGUGGGGGAUAGCCCGGAGAAAUCCGGAUUAAUACCGCAUAAUACCUAAGGGUUAAAACAGGGGAUCUUCGGACCUUGUGCCAAUGGAUGAGCCCGCGUCAGAUUAGCUAGUUGGUAAGGUAAUGGCUUACCAAGGCGACGAUCUGUAGCUGGCCUGAGAGGGUGGUCAGUCACACUGGAACUGAGACACGGUCCAGACUCCUACGGGAGGCAGCAGUGGGGAAUAUUGGGCAAUGGGCGCAAGCCUGACCCAGCCAUGCCGCGUGUGUGAAGAAGGCUUUCGGGUUGUAAAGCACUUUAAGUUGGGAGGAAGGCUGAACGGUUAAUACCCGUUUGGAUUGACGUUACCAACAGAAUAAGCACCGGCUAAUUCCGUGCCAGCAGCCGCGGUAAUACGGAAGGUGCGAGCGUUAAUCGGAAUUACUGGGCGUAAAGCGCACGUAGGUGGUUUGUUAAGUUGGAUGUGAAAGCCCAGGGCUCAACCUUGGAAUUGCAUCCGAUACUGGCAGGCUAGAGUACAGUAGAGGGAGGUGGAAUUUCCGGUGUAGCGGUGAAAUGCGUAGAGAUCGGAAGGAACACCAGUGGCGAAGGCGGCCUCC